RNAcentral lists this long non-coding RNA (1130 nucleotides) under Gossypium barbadense (sea-island cotton). RNAcentral's name for it is "long non-coding RNA (GBAR_LNC010701)". Lineage: Eukaryota; Viridiplantae; Streptophyta; Magnoliopsida; Malvales; Malvaceae. The record is from RNAcentral.
CCUUCUUAAUAACUAAAUAUACAAGCAUAAAAUGGUAUAAUUUCAUGUCGUGAAGCAGGACGGGACAAACAAUUACCAUAACCGCUCCAUACCUAUUGUACAAAAAUAAACUCACCCUGUCUUUCCCUACAUCUACUUUUUAAAAGAAAAAUCCACUCCUUUCAAUGUGGAUCUAUUUGAAAUAUAUUAGGUGGAUUGAGUUUUGUUAUCCCUAGCCAUGAACACCAGACAUGAACUGUAAAACAAAUAUGGAGGAUAUAAAAAAAUCCAUCAAGCAGAUGUUGCUAAAUCCAACAUCACUCCACAAUUGGCACGCUCUACUCCAUCACUCGCUUUACUCCACUAUGGAUGUAUAGUCUUAAAAAUCCACUAUCACCUCUAUGGAUGUUACCAACCCCAUCUCGCUUUACUUCAAUUUAAUUUUUUUACUACUUAUCUUUAAUAUUAUCAAUCUUUUUAAAGGCAAGUAGAUAUUUUUUUGAAUAAAAAUUGGCCUUUAUUGAAAAGAGAGAAAGCCACCUCAAGAACUACAACCCACAGUAAAUAACUAAAACACUCUCUCCUAAAAAUACAACCAGCCAAAUGAAUGGCCCUCAUUUAAUAAACUAAGUAAAACCAAAGGGAACCAUAAACACAUCUUUCCAAAAAGAAAAUAAAGUAGUGAGAAAACCUUGAGUAUCCUAACUUUAGUCAAGUGGAUCUACCCACUAGCGAUCGUUUUUUAUCUCAACCUUAGUGAAAUUCGGCAACUCUUCCACCUAGUAUCUAUUCUCGUUGAAAUCGAAGCCUUUGGUGGCCAGCUAAUGUGCCACAAGGUUAUUGAUCCUACUGCAAAAUUUGAACCGACAAGCACCAAAACGAACUGCAGUUUGCUUCCCAUCAACAAUAUAACUGCUAAUAAUCAAUCAGCCCAUUUGGGUAUCUAUGAGUCUUCUAAUAAUCGUGCUUGCAUCUCCUUCAAUCUCCACCGAUUGGAAACCUAUGUCCUCAACAAACUAAAUGGUUUGGAUGCAAGCAAGGGCUUUAGUUGAAAAGGCUUCAGUUGAAAAAGCUUUAGGUAUGCUCUUGGUCACCAUUACUGUCGACCCUAAUAUUAAAUCAUCAUUGUUCCGGAUAACGAUACAUGAUCG